RNAcentral lists this transfer RNA (68 nucleotides) under Cirroctopus glacialis. Its description in RNAcentral is "tRNA-Gln". It matches the Rfam family "tRNA". Rfam says of the family: Transfer RNA (tRNA) molecules are approximately 80 nucleotides in length. Their secondary structure includes four short double-helical elements and three loops (D, anti-codon, and T loops). Lineage: Eukaryota; Metazoa; Mollusca; Cephalopoda; Octopoda; Opisthoteuthidae. The record is from RNAcentral.
UACAGUAUGAUGUAAGGGCAUGUAAAGUUUUGAAAUUUAAAGAAAGGGUUGAAUUCCCUUUAUUGUAA